RNAcentral lists this long non-coding RNA (7370 nucleotides) under Lynx pardinus (Iberian lynx). The record is from RNAcentral. Lineage: Eukaryota; Metazoa; Chordata; Mammalia; Carnivora; Felidae.
GUGCUGUCCAGCUGUCUUUGGAUUCAGAGGGACUUGAGAGACCUACUAACCAAAUGCAAUGUGUGGUCCUUGUGUGGAUCUUGGCUCAGAUGGACCAGCUGCAAAAGACGUUAUGGCAACAAUUGGAGAGAUCUGAAUACGGAUCGGGUACCAGGUAACAUGAAAGAAUUAUUGUUCGUUUUGUUAGGUAGAGUGGUAUAGGGUUAUGGAAGAAAAGUCCUUAUUUUUAGAAAAUAGAAAUAUGAAAGUGUUAUGAAGUAAAAUGUCAUGUCUGUAAUUUAUUAUAAAUGCUUUGGCAAAAAAUAGGAAGCAAAUCUGGCAAAAUGUUAAGAAUGGUUAAGUUUAGGUAAUGCAUAUAUGGGAGGUCAUUACACUAUUUUUUUCUAUUUUUCCAUAUGUUUGAAAAUGUUCGUAAUAAAAAUUUUAUAAUAAACAAAAUUAGUAAAAAAACAAAACAAAACAAAACAAAACAUCUACCACCAAGGUGAAAAUGAUGGUUCAGCAUUGAGAAAGAAAGCAAAUAUUUUUCUGGAAUAAAAUAUAUGGAGAGAACAUUUUGAAAGUUUAUAUUUUACUGAUCAAAGAAAAACAAGUGGGUCGUCUACCUCCUGCCUUACUUUUUAAAAUUGGGGGAAAAACAAUUGACCAACCAACCCAAAAAGGAAAUUGAGAAAAUAAUUUCAUUUACAAUAGCAAUAAAAAGAAGAAAAUACUUAGGAAUAAACUUAACCAAGGAGGUGAAAGCCUCCUAUCCUAAAGACUACAACACAUUAUUAUUUUUUAUUUUUUACCAUUUAUUUAUUUUUUAGUCAGAGAGAGAGCAGGGGAGGGGUAGAGACAAAGGGAGAGAGAGAAUCCCAGGCAGACUCUGCACUGGAGUACAGAGUCCAACACGGGGCUCGAGCUCACAAACCAUGAGAUCAUGACCUGAGCUGAAACCAAGAGUUGGACACUUAACUGAGCCACCCAGGUGCCCCAUAAAACUUAUUGAAAGAAAUUAAAGAAGAUGAAUAAGUGGAAAGAGAUCUUGUAUUCAUGGACAGAAGACUUGACAUUGUUAAGAUAUCAAUUCUACCCAAAGCAACCUACAAAUUCAGUGCACUCCCUAUCAAAAUCCCAAUGACAUUUCUCAUAGAAAUAGAAAAAUACAUUCUAAAUUCAUAUAGAAUCUCAAGAAACUCAGCAUAGCCGAAACAAUUUUGAAAAGGAACAAAGUUGGAGGACUCACACUUCUUGAUUUCAAAACACAUUACAAAGCUACAAUAAUCAAAACGGUGUAGUAUCGGCAUUAACACAAAUAGAAGAAUGGAAUAGAAUAGAAAGCCAAGAAAUAAGCCUUUGUGUAUAUGGUCAAAUGAUGUUCAACAAAGAUGCCAAGAGCACUCAAUGGGGGAAAGACAGUCUUUGCAACAAAUGGUGUCGGGAAAACUGGAUAUCCACAUGUAAAAGUAUAAAGUUGGACUUUAGCUUACACCAUAGACAAAAAUUAACUCAAAAUUGAUUAAAGAUCUAAAUUUAAGACCUAAAACUGUAAAACUCCUGGAAGAAAACAUAGAUGAAAAGCUCAUGAGAUUGGCAAUUAUUUCUUGGUUAUGACACCAAAAACACAGACAACAGAAGCAAAAAUAGACAAAUGUGACUACAUCAACCUUAAAAACUUUUGUGCAUCAAAGGACACAGCCUAUGGAAUGGGAGGAAAUAUAUGCAAAACAUAUACUUGAUAAGGGGCUAAUAUUCAGAAUAUAUAAAGAACGCUUCCAACUCAACAACAAAAAUUCAAAUCACCCAACUGAGAAUAAAUAUUUCUCUAAAGAUAAUAUAGAUGGUCAACAGGCAUAUUAAAAGAUGCCAAUAUCACAAAUCAUCAGAGAAACGUGAAUCAAAACCACAAUGAAGUAUCACCUCACACCCAUUCAGAUGUCCACUAUGAAAAACAACACUAGAAAAUAGUAAGUGUUGGUGAGGAUGUGGAAAAAUUAGAACCCUAGUGCACAGAGGGUGCGAUUGUAAGCUAGUCCCACUGCUAUGGAGAACAGUCUGGAGAUUCCUCAGAAAAUUAAACACAGAACUAUCAUACGAGGUAGCAACCCCAUUUCUGAGUGUAUAUCUAGAAUAAUUGAAAUCAGAAUCUUGAAGAGAUAUUUGCACACUCAUGUUCACAGCAGCACUGUUCACAAUAGUAAGAGACAGAAGCAACCCAAACAUCCAAUGACAAUUGAAUGGAUAAACAAAAUGUGAGAUACACACACACACACACACACACACAUUAUUCAGUAUUAGGAAGGAAAGAAAUCCUGGGACAUCUGGAUGGCUCAGCUGGUUAAGCGUCUGACUUUGGCUUAGGUCAUGAUCUCAUGGUUUGUGAGUUCGAGACUCACAUCGGGCUCUGUUCUGACAGCUCAGAGCCUGGAGCCUGCUUUGGAUCCUGUGUCUCCCUCUCACUCUGUCCCUCCCCGUUCACAUUCUGUCUCUCUGUCUCUCUCUCAAAAAUAAACAUUAACAAAAUUUUUUUUUAAAAAGGAAAGAAAUCCUAUCACAUGCUACAACAAGGAUAUACCUUGAGGACUUUAUGCAAGUCAUGAAAGACAAAUAUGGCAUGAUUUUACUUAUAUGGGGUAUCUAGAGUAGUCAAAUUCAGAGACAGAAAGUAGAAAGGUCAUUCCCAGGAGUAGGGGAGAGGGGAAAAGAAGAGUUAAUGAGUAUAGAGUUUCAUAUCUACAAGAUAAAAAAUUCUGGAGAUCCAUUCACAACAAUGUGAAUAAACUUAAUACUCCUGAAUAAUACACUUAAAAAUGGUUAACAUGGUAAAUUUUAUGUUAUGUGUUUUUUACCACAAUAAAAAAUGGGGGGGGGGCAAAACUUGGGAACAGAAUGGUUGGGCUGUUUAAAAGCUUCCAAAUGAAGUAUUUCAGUAGGUUUUGAAAUGAAAUACUUUGUUAAUAUAUAUGAGAAUAUGGCACCCUCUGAUUAGUCUGCAAAAACAUCAGGGAACAUAGUGAUUUACUGUCUACAUGUCACCAUAAUUGUUGGUGGAAGAGAGAAAAAGAAGUAUCACAAUUUAGGAGAGCAUACCCAAUGAUGUCCUUACUACAUUUACUUCUUAUGAGGAAUAUUUUUCGAUUACAAGAGAUAUCAAAAGGAAGUGUUAAAAGAAACAGACCUAUGGGGUGUCUGGAUGGCUCAGUCAGUUAAGUGUCUGACUUCGGCUCAGGUCAUGAUCUAAAGGUUCAUGGGUUCGGGCCCUGCAUCAGACGGUGUACUGACAGCUCAGAGCCUGGAACCUGCUUGGGAAUCUCUCUCUUCCCCUCUCUCUCUCUGCCCCUACCCAGCUCUCGCUCACUCUCUCAAAAUAAAUAAGUAAACUUAAAAAAAAAUUAAAAAAUAAAAGAAACAGACCUACCUUCAAAUUAUGUUACACAAAAUAUUGAGUCAACAUUUAAAAAAAUUAAAGUGAAUUGAGUUAUGUAUAAUUCAAAGUACUACUAAUACAAAUAAUUUAAUCAGAACUAUUCAUUAUAAUAAACAAUUGGCCUAUGAAUACACUUCUUUUUUUUUUCAUGUUUUUUAUUUAUUUUUGAGAGAGACCACCUGCAGGGGAGGGGCCGAGAGAGAGGGAGACAGGAUUUGAAGCAGGCUCUGUGCUGACAGCAGAGAGCCCGAUGCUGGGCUUGAACCCACGAACCAUGAGAUCAUGACCUGAGCUGAAUUCUGACGCUCAACCAACGGAGCCACCCAGGCUCCUGACCUAUUACUAAAUUUCUAAAAUAUUUAUUAAGUAUUUAUUUCCUGUUUAGUUCAUUCUUUAAAAUUUUUUUUUGUUACAGUUCCCGUAUUUUUACUGAUGUAUAACAACUUUGGGGUCAUUGCUGGAAAGUUCAGGAAUUUAUUAAUAUUCACAAAUCCUGGAGACUUGUGUCCAGUCUCUUCCAGGAAUUCUGAACCAGAUGUAAGAAUAGGCUAUGGUAGAAGAGGAGGGAGAGAGAAAAGAGGAGAGGAGUCUGGGAGGAAAGAGAAUGAGUUUGGUUUUAAUCUGAUUUUCAAGCUCUUCCAAUUAUUAAGAACAACACUAUAGAGCUUUCCAUAAUGAAGGAAUGUUCUAGAUCUCUGCUGUCUGAUACAGUAGCCACUAGCCAUAUGUAGCUACUGAGCACUUGAAAUGUAGUUAUUGUGACUGAGGAAUGGAAUUGUUUAAAUUAAUUUAUUUUGAGAAAGAGAGAGAAAGUGUGUGCAUGCAUGUGCAAGUGGGGGAGGGGCAGAGAGAGAGAGAGAGAGAGAGAGAGAGAGAGAGAGGAGGGAGAAUCCCAAACAGGCUCUACCUUCAGCUCAGGGCCUGAUGCAGGGCUCCAUCUCACAGCAAGAGUUAGAUGCUUAACAAACUGAGCUAUCCGGGCGCCCCCCGAGGAACUGGAUUUAAAAUUUUGUUUAAUUGAGGGGUGCCUGGGUGACUCAGUUCAUUAAGUAUGUGACCCUUGAUUCAGGCCGAUUCAGAUCGGUUCAGGUCACGAUCUCAUGGUUUGUGAGAUCGAGCCCCACGUUGGGCUCCACGCUGAUGGCACGGAACCUGCUUGGGAUUCUCUUUGCCUUUCCCCCAUUCAUUCUCUCUCUCUCUCUCUCUCUCUCUCUCUCUCAAAAUAAAGAAAAAAUAAACAUUAAAAAAUUCUAUUUAAUUAAAAUUUAAAUGGUCACAUAUGGCUAAUGGCUACUGUAUUGGACAUUGCAGUGCUAGAAAGAACCCACGGCCAAACAUGCCUUAAAUAUUUAGUGACUGAAGGGAAAUACGAAAUGUGGGAGCCUGGCAAUGGAGAGCUGCACACGUGUCAACGUGAAGACAUAAGCUGGUGCCGGGAUGUAGAGGUGGCAUAAUCUGAAUGAUGUAGGUGGCUGAGUCAUGCCAAAGGGCUCUUCCGUUUUCUUUUUUACCUUGAGGAAAGGUUUACAAUUUCUGUGUUGUUGCAGAAUGGAAAUAUAACUUAUGUGUCACAACUUACUUGCCUACAAAAUGUGUGUGUGAUACACUUUUUGUCGCUUUAAUCAUAUCUCAUAGUUUCAAAUUAUUUUUUUAAUGUUUUAUUUAUUUUUGAGAGAGAGAGAGAGAGAGAGAGAGAGAGAGAGAGAGAGAGAGCAGGGAAGGGGCAGAGACAGAAGGAGGUAUAGAAACUGAUCCAAGCUCGGAGCUGUCAACACAGAGCCCGAUGCGGGGCUUGAAUUUGUGAACUUCGAGAUCAUGACCUGAGCUGAAGUCGAAUGCUUAACCAGUGAGCCACCCAGGCGCCCCUCAAAUUAUUUUUCCUUUGCAAAGUUGCAAGUGGGGGGACAUGUGCCUCUUCUCCUUUACCCCAUACUCUGGGCUUAUAAUUUCGUCAGUGCAAAUGGAGGAACUUCAGUCUUCCUCUCUUCAGGGCUGUAGAUGGCCACUAGAUUUCAAGUUCUCUCUGCCCCUUUGUUAAACUUCCUCCUCCGAAAGAUAUCUCCUUAGAUGCUGAUAUAAAGUUCCUUUAACAGCAAGCAAAAUCUUUUGUUCCCCAAUUAGAGAUAAAGGUGUAUGAUAGAAAUACUACCUGCCAUCAAAAAAGAAACACACAUGCUAAGAAAAAAAUUCAAUCAGUGAAUUGAGGAGGCCCUCAGCUCCUUCCCUACGAAGGAGAGGUGGACUGAAAAGGGAAACCAUUAGUUCCGUUUAAAAAAGGGUUCAGGGACGCCUGGGUGGCUUAGUCGGUGGAGCGUCAGGCUCUUGAUUUUGGCUCAGGUCAUGAUCCCAGGGUUGUGGGAUCGAGCCCCUUGUCAGGCUCUGCACUGAGCCUGGAGCCUGUUUGAGAUUGUCUCUCUUUCUCUCCCCCUUUGCCCCUCUCCCCUUCUCUUUCUCUCUAAAAUAAGAAAAAGGGGUGCAAAUGGCAAUAGUGUUUUUUUAAUGUAUAUGGUGGGGAUAAAGAAGAACCAUAUUUUCAGCAUCAUCAUCACUUUGCCUUGAGCUAAAUGGGAAGAACAAACUGGAAGCAGCUCUGGGCUGUGAGUUUAGAACAACUCAGGGGUGAGUUGUCUCUCGGGACAUUGUAAAUUCUUGGGGGACAGGGACCAAGUACGAUAUAUUUCCCGCCUGCAUCCCAGUAGUUUCCAGCAUGGUGCCAAGUACAUGGAGUAUAAGAGUCUGUUGGAAAAGUGAGAGGAUAUAACUUUUGAAAACCUAUUUAAGUCCUGGAGCACUGCCUACGCAGUGAGCAUUUUCUUUUCCCCUUGAACAAAGUGGAUGAGAAAAUUAACUGAUUAAAAACUUCCUGGGCAUGAUGUUACCUCCCCAUCUUUGCUCCUCACUGAUGAGAACUUAGGCUGAAGAGCUCUUCUAGAGAGUUCUUUAGCAGCAGCCAAUUUACUAAUGAAAAUCAGUGCUAACUAUGCGAGCAUUUUGGAAAUUAAGAUAAGGAGGAUUUCCGUGUAGACUCAGAUUUUUUCAUUUGUCAAGGCAAGAUUUAUCAUGGGAAAAAUGAUGACAUUUUACUGAAAGACGUUAAGGAAUAUCUAAAUAAUUGCAUAUGUUUAUGACUAGGAAGAUGCAAUGCCACACAUGUGUCCCUUUCCCCAGAACGGAGCUAUGGAUACCAUGUAAUUCCAUGCAUUAUUCCAAUAAAGUCAUCCUGGAACCCCAAAAGCUGAUUUGAAAAUUUGCGUGGAAGAGUCAAGAACCAAGCAUAGUCAAGACACUCUCAACACAGGAAGGGCAAGGUGGUGGGGAGGUCCUGCUCUACUGCCUGUCAAGACUUAUUAAAGAGUCGGAGUCAUUAAGGCACUGUGAUAUUGUCACAGGAGAGACGACUAGACAUGAGGCGCAACGGAAGGGCCAGAAACAGGAACACAAGUCUGUGGAAACCGGAGACGUGCCAUGAGGGGCCAUCGCAGGAGGAGGAAGGGAUAGAUCGGUUGACACAUGGCUCCAUGACCCCACGAAAGACUUGGUGCUCUAUGCUUUCACUGCCACACCUGCAACAGCACUGCACCCAGUCUCGAGGGUUAACCGGCGUCACGUUUAUGCUCUCCUCGAUUGCUAACCCAAGUCCCUUGAUCUGUAGCAGAACUAACUUACUCACUUUGCGAUUUGCAGCCACUGGCCUUGAGGAGCGAAGGACCAAAUGUUCCCAGAAGAUAAGGCCUGACUACAUUCGAAAACAGCUGCCACGGAUGCCAGCAAGUCUGUUCAGGGUCAUGUCCACAUAUGACUAACGACCUGGGCACUUGCUUCUUCUGCACAUAGCUCCCUGCCCUUUCCCUGUGCCUUCCCCUUUGAAACCUUCCAGCUUCCCUUGGAUGAGGAAGGUGGUCUUUGAGACAUCAGUCCAGCAUCUCCCCAGGUUUCCGGCCUCCUGAAUAAAGCAACCCUG